CUACGUAGCUCAGAGUUUGAUCCUGGCUCAGAUUGAACGCUGGCGGCAUGCUUUACACAUGCAAGUCGAACGGUAACAGGUCUUCGGAUGCUGACGAGUGGCGAACGGGUGAGUAAUACAUCGGAACGUGCCUAGUAGUGGGGGAUAACUACUCGAAAGAGUAGCUAAUACCGCAUGAGAUCUACGGAUGAAAGCAGGGGACCUUCGGGCCUUGUGCUACUAGAGCGGCUGAUGGCAGAUUAGGUAGUUGGUGGGGUAAAGGCUUACCAAGCCUGCGAUCUGUAGCUGGUAUGGGAGGACGACCAGCCACACUGGGACUGAGACACGGCCCAG
Molecule: ribosomal RNA, 333 nt
Filed under: uncultured bacterium
Lineage: Bacteria
Description: bacterial SSU rRNA
Rfam family: Bacterial small subunit ribosomal RNA
Source: RNAcentral